AUGCAUGGCCGGCGUCGCAUGAAUCACAGUGAAGACCUCAGCCGGCCGCUGCGAGUGGUCGCCAGUCCAUGCCAUGGGGCGGGGCGGAACUUGGCGAAGGGGCUGGGACGCGAGGGGCGAAGGCGAGGACGAAGGAGUGCGGGCCGGCGCCGCGGGUGCCGCAGGCGCAGGACGGGGGCGGCAGGGUCGCGCACCCGAGUUGCCUGGCCGGAGGUGCGGGGCAGGUUUGUUGGAGCAGCUCCUCGCGCGGUGACCAUGCUGGAAGCAGCGGCGACAAGUAAUUUGGUUGCGGCAGCCCGCUUGUCGAUGGCGAGGUAA
This 318-nucleotide ribosomal RNA is filed under the name Triticum aestivum (bread wheat). Its description in RNAcentral is "partial small subunit ribosomal RNA". Lineage: Eukaryota; Viridiplantae; Streptophyta; Magnoliopsida; Poales; Poaceae. The record is from RNAcentral.